This 72-nucleotide transfer RNA is filed under the name Catenuloplanes niger. RNAcentral's name for it is "tRNA-Val". It matches the Rfam family "tRNA". Rfam says of the family: Transfer RNA (tRNA) molecules are approximately 80 nucleotides in length. Their secondary structure includes four short double-helical elements and three loops (D, anti-codon, and T loops). Lineage: Bacteria; Bacillati; Actinomycetota; Actinomycetes; Micromonosporales; Micromonosporaceae. The record is from RNAcentral. RNAcentral also lists the same sequence under 1 other name.
GCCCGUAUGGCUCAGCGGAAGAGCGCCGCUCUCACGCGGCGGAGGUCCCAGGUUCGAUCCCUGGUGCGGGUA